GCUUGUCUCAAAGAUUAAGCCAUGCAUGUCUAAGUAUAAACAAAUCUAUACUGUGAAACUGCGAAUGGCUCAUUAUAUCAGUUAUAGUUUAUUUGAUGGUUCUUGCUACUUGGAUAACCGUAGUAAUUCUAGAGCUAAUACAUGCGUCAAUACCCUUCUGGGGUAGUAUUUAUUAGAUUGAAACCAACCGCUUCGGCGUGAUGUGGUGAUUCAUAAUAAAUUUGCGAAUCGCAUGGCUUUACGCCGGCGAUGUUUCAUUCAAAUUUCUGCCCUAUCAAUUUGAUGGUAGGAUAGAGGCCUACCAUGGUGGUAACGGGUGACGGAGAAUUAGGGUUCGAUUCCGGAGAGGGAGCCUGAGAAACGGCUACCACAUCCAAGGAAGGCAGCAGG
This 390-nucleotide ribosomal RNA is filed under the name Diatoma tenuis. RNAcentral's name for it is "partial small subunit ribosomal RNA". It matches the Rfam family "Eukaryotic small subunit ribosomal RNA", at positions 30 to 432 of the family's 1831-position model. The record is from RNAcentral. Lineage: Eukaryota; Bacillariophyta; Fragilariophyceae; Tabellariales; Tabellariaceae.